AACAAGAAUUUCACAUUUUUAUAUUACAUUGACAUUUUUGUUCAAUAAUAAAAUGUAAUUCUUCAAGACAGACAAGACUGUGAGCUGCACAGACAAAAUUUCCACUCCCAAGAAUGGUUCCUAUCUGACAAGAGAGGACCUACAAAAAGGAAAGGGUAGACAGUGACGAUGCCAUGAUGCACAAGCACGGAAGAGAAGCUGGGGAGGUACUUAUCUGUGUUUCUGGUGGAUGCGUAGUCUCCAUGAAUGACCAGAAAACGCUACACCCAAGAAGACUCUACAAGCCACGUCAGGGAAAGUGAGCACAACUGAGCUGCUGUGAAAGCAUCUUUCCAAUGUUUCAUUGUAAUUUGUUCUGCAGAAAAUUAUGUAAGCUAAGCCAGAGUUAACAAGAUCAUACUGUUGUAAAAGCAAGCUGUAUAUUAACAGGAGUAUCGUGCUUAAGGCCCAGGAGGUAAUCCUUACACUCUACUUGUUGCUGAUAAGAUCUAGGUCUGCUAGUGUACUCUGUUCAGGACAGCAUGCUAUACCUCAAAAAGACUUGAGCAAGUUGGAGAAGGCCAGAAAAAUACCACUAAGAGUUAUCAGAGAUCCCAUAACACAAUUUAGGAGAACAAACUCUAAGAUUGGGGAAAGCGUUAACAGAAGGAAGUACUAUGGAGGAAUGUGAUAACAAAAAUAUAAAUACUUGCCAUGAAGCAGUAAUAAUCUACACUCUGGUACUAUAUUCACAACAACAAAAAUAUAUGGGUUUAAAAGGCAAGAAAGGGGAUACCACACAAGAAAGAUCUUUCUACAAUUGAGAUUAAUGACAUAUAAGAAUAGGUUGCAUUGCAGUUAUGGCAUAUCUUUCACUGGAGGGUGUUAUGGCAUGGUAGCCUAACAUCUCUCAGGAGUUACAUAUAUAGUUGAUAUGCUCUGGGGAAGGAACAUAAUCACCUAAAUAUGCUCUCUUCAUAUCUUUCACCUCCAGUUUCUGUGAUUCUGUAAUUUUAAUAGCUAAGAGACUGGCUUAAACUCUGAAACGUAAUACCUUACCAAUCAUUGAAACUUGUUAGCAUUUGCUUUUGCAAAACUUACAUCCCCAAUUGGUCUAAUCCUUUGCUUAAUUCUGCAUCCAUAGCCUCCAGGAGGCCAUAUUCAAAUUUAGAAUAAGCUCACAUCAAGCUUAUCCACACAAACAAUAUUUUAUCUAUCCGGUUUGAAUUCGGCCCAAAAAUGAAAGCCUCUUUUUUAUAAAAACGCAGUACUUUCCUGAGAAUCAGAACACUGAUAUAGAUCCCAACACUAAAGCGUUCCCUUUUUAAUGGACAUUAAAUCUGGAUUUAGGUUGCUUCAGUGACUACUUUUAAGAAAGCGGAACUGCUGUUGAACUAAUUACUGAGAAAAUUAUGAAUCAGUCUGGAAGCAAAUUUUCUUCCAAAAUGCCUUAGAAAAGCUUCCAGAUUGAUGUACGGAAGACAUUUUAAACAGAAGAUCAGUGUUGCAUUGUUUUAAUCUCAUUGAAACAUUCCUACUGAGCUUUUUUGCUCAGUAGGUUUCGCAGCAGUUUCGCAGCAGUUUCCCUGUAUGUGUUAAAAAUCCAGUGCAGAAUAGUAUUUCGAAACAAACGGGGCCACGCUGUCCUGCACUGAGGUUUGCUUGGCAAGGCAGAAGGGGCAGACCACAAGGAAGCUGGCUAUGGCUCUGUCAUCUUCCAUCCUGCAUUACGGCAGCUCAGCCUCUGAGCAGGUUCACAGAGGCCCCAGCCCUAUCUCACGCUACCUGGCAACACGCUCCCACCCUCUGACAACUGGCAAAACUCAGCUCGCUCCAGCCAGACCCCGUUCUGUCCCAGGCUGCACCUCCAAUAGGCUGACAAGGGGAAUCCCUCGAGAGGAACUUGCAGCUCACCAAAUACAGCCAGGGUCAGACCUGCAGCGUGACCGGGGUAGCACAAAGGGGAUGAACUAUGGAGGAAAAUCUCACUCUGAAAAUAUUUCAAAAUCAGCACCUAUUUCCACUCCAGUUCUAUGCAUUCUGCAGGUAAGAUAAGAGUUGAACAAACUCCUUAUAUGGAAAACAACCUCAGCACAGAAAACUAAUGUUGUUAAGCAAUAGCGUAGUUAUAAAACUUUGAUUUGAUUGCUUGCACAAGUGCUAUGCUACUAUCUUGCACGUCAUCAGAGCAUGUCAGCAAAAAUAUGGUGAGAAACUACAUCCUAAGUCCUCAAGUUAAUCCCAUGCUUGUCCUUUACAGGUUAUAAGAAAGUUGGAAGAUCUCAUGUCAUCAUUUCAUUCUUUCUCUUUGACAGUAGUGAGGUCUGAUUAAGCCACAGGGUAACUUAGUAUUUUUCUCAGUCCCUUCCAGGACCAUUCAGUUGUCCUGGCAGUGUCAGGCACUACAGCUAUACACCCCUGCUGUUUCCAGCACUGCCCUCUGUGUGAGGAGGACCGUGCGAUUGUUUCUCAGCUGGCUGAAAAAUUGUGUGAUUCUUGACAAAAGGAACUUGUGCAAGGGCAGCGAUAUAGCUUGUACCUUCAGCUAAAUCGGGGACCAAAAAAGGUCUCUCUCCUUUCAGUGCUGGUAAAUAGUACAUGAAGGCAAAGGCUAUUACAACAUAAUAUUUGGUAAUCUACUUACAGCAGAGUUUCUGGGAACCAACAGUCAUAUGAGACUAUCAAUUAAAAAGAUAAAUUUCUAAAUUUAUGCAUAAAAUUGACUAAAGUAUGCCCUGAAAAAGUCAGCAAAUAAAAUAGCCAAAACUAUUUUUGAAGUUACAGUCUUUAAGCCAGUGUCAUAGCUUUCUGAGUCCGCCUGACAAACAUAGAAUAUUUAGGCACAGUAGGACUGUGAUUAAGGAAAAGGGUUUUUUUUCAGCAACCGAUCACCAAAUUCACAAGGGAAAAUAUUAGAUGUGUUUUUCUGUUUCAGCAAAUCUAUAAAGCACCAACAUCGUUAUAGGCUUAGCUAAGGAGAUAAUUGUAACAUAGAAAUUGAUCAUUCACUAUGAUGAUAUAGGUGUGUUAAAAAGAGCUAUGUGAGUGUAAUAGAUAAUGUCUGCACAUGACUCUAAACUUGGCAGUGGGCUUACGAAAUUGAUUUCUUCAGUGAGAAGCAUGCCUAUUUUGCAUACACCUAUACAGAUCUCUUGCUUUUCCCUGGCCUGCCCUCUAAGAAAAGGAGCAAAAUCUUUGCAUUUCUGGCUAUAAAGAACUUCUUUUCCUGUAUGACAUUUUAUAAAUAAUGGCAUGACUUCACUGGACAAGAGACAUUAUUAUAGGAAUGAAAAGCACUUUAGCCUGAUAAAGGUUUACCUUGUUUUCUAGAAAAAGUGCAGCAACGAUGUCAAUGCUAAAGAGUAAGAAAGCCGAAGCCUGCUUCAAACGAGCUGAAUACAAGUUUGUGAGAUACUUAGUAGAACUUGGAAACUACUUAAUUUUUCUUCCAAGAGUGUAACAGAGUUAUCAUCAGGAUCUUAAUACUGUUACUAAAAACCAGCCACAUCUGUCGGUGUAUUUCUUCAAAAGUCUAAGCUAUGUAUAUGUAUGUGUAGUCACUCCCCGUCAAAGAAUCGCUUUCUGCUUUUCUUGAGAAGACAGGAACACAAUCAUUUCCUGUUACUUGAUUGUCUCCAACUUAUCCUUACAGAAUUUACAAUGCAAAGUAAUUGUAAAUCUUGAUGACUAGAAUGUUUUAGAAUUUAAUAAAGAUACAUGCUUUAA
This is a long non-coding RNA of Aquila chrysaetos chrysaetos, 3705 nucleotides long. RefSeq lists it as uncharacterized. NCBI's taxonomy places the organism in Eukaryota, Metazoa, Chordata, Aves, Accipitriformes, Accipitridae. The transcript has 2 exons. The record is from RefSeq and is a predicted model, not a curated record.